RNAcentral lists this long non-coding RNA (18315 nucleotides) under Zostera marina. Lineage: Eukaryota; Viridiplantae; Streptophyta; Magnoliopsida; Alismatales; Zosteraceae. The record is from RNAcentral.
UAUAGCAUCUUUUGUAAUAUAUUAUUUUAGGUCGUUAGUAUUUUGUACAAUUGUAUUCCUUGUAUAAUAUGUAAUAUUCCUUCAAUAUAUUUAUAAAUUUACUCUUCUCCUCGUGUUCUGUAAAUUAAUACAUCCGUAUCCAUCACGUCGUCAACUACUAUUCUACCAUGCACGUACAUACUCCUUGAUCUUCAACUAGAGCCUUAAGCUGCCUGCAACAUCUGGUUCCCUCCAUCAUUUGUUGUUCUUGUCGGAGAAUCCAUUAGAACCUUCACACGGAACAUAGCCUACACAAAACAAAUCGAUUACAACUCACAUGGAAAUGAGUAGUUCUCAUAUAUAUAUAUAUAGGGAAGACAUUUGGAACGGCCGGUAGUCGGAACGGUCACUGGUGCGGACCUCCGAUCCGGCCGUCCAUCUCCACAACAAAAAUCUCGACCGUUCAUUGAAUCGAAAUCGGACGGUCGUUGCUCUGUUCGGCGAGCGGAGGUUCCCCGGAGAUGAGUUCCGCGGAACCGCGAUCGAGUUCCGCGGGACUCGAUCCGCGGAACUCGCGAUGGGUUCGGCGGAACCGAAAUCGAGUUCCGCGGAACCGCGAUCGAGUUCCGCGGAACUCGCGAUGGGUUCCGCGGAACCGAAAUCGAGUUCUGCGGAACUCGCAAUCGAAACGAUGGGCACGGAACGGUAGAUUGGUCCGCAAUCGAGGUCCGAUAGGCAGGGCAUGGGACGACGGUAGAUUGCCUAUCGGAACUGGUACCGACGGUAGAUUGCCGACGGCAGGGCAUGGUACCGGUCUGUUGCGGACAGGGUCGCACCUGAAUUUCUCUGUAUAUAUAUAUAUAUAUCAUUUACCUUUUUAUCAGACCCAAAUUCGAUAACAUCCGAUGGACGAAAUCGAACUGGGAAGUUUGGUGGAACACGGUAUCUUCUUCCUUCGUUACUGCAUAAAAUCAAUAUAAUUAUCAAUUUCAAAACGACUGUAUUACUGUCGACUGAAUUCUGAAACUUACUCGGAUAGCCAGGUACCAUGUUGACUGUUCAUAUCGGUCAAAAAGAAUGCUUUGUUUUUACAAUGAAUACGAGCGUGAGUUUGCGAGACUUUGUCUGAAGAUAAAGUUAUUGACAACUCCGGCAAACUCGUAUUUGAAGCAUUCCUGGAUUGAUCAGAAAUCAAUUAAGCUAUCAAUUUAUAAAUUAAUACUACUUGAAUAUUCUUGAACUCGACUGUAAUUUGCUACGUACCCUACUAUGUAAGAUCUACCAUCGUUUCUGAUUAUAUUAAUUGGCUGCAGAUCAUCAGCUGUUGAUCCACUUCUCAUUGGGAAGAGAUACCACCUAUAAAUUAAAUUAAAUUAUUCACCAAGAAAUUGAUAAUCACAUGCAUGCAUAUGAGUUAAUUCAACUGCUAGUAUAUAUGUAUGAGUUAAUUAUCUACAUACUCUCCGCAAAGAGCACGCUCCAAUUCAUCGUCAUCUUCGAACCAUGUUCUUAACUGAUUAUCCGCCUUAUCAGUCAAUCGACAUGAAAGUGAUCUUCCUUCCAGCUUGGAGCUGCAGAAAUUAAAGUAGAAGAGAUCUAGAAUAAUUAAUUGGAUUCUGAUGAGAACUGAAGUAUAUUAUAAUCGAUCGAUUUACCUGUUUCCACCAAGAAUCCACGACAGCAUCAUUGGCAUUCCAAGACUUAUGAAAAAUCUCCCCCCAACUCUUCCCGGGUGUGGUAUUCGCAACUUGGUCAAGAACUGCGGCAUGAUCAGUCGAUAUUGAAUAUAUAGAUUUUGUCAAAGGUCCGAGACUUCAAUUGAGUUGUAGCUAUAAUAAAUUAACAUACCGACAACGGUCCAAGUCCGACGCCAAGAUACGGCCGGUAAGUGGUCGCCAUAUUGGCAGCCAUCCUAGCCAAUCCAUAUAUUAUGCUCACACGUAAUUUCCUUGCAUUCUCAUAACUGGAUCGAAGAAAUUAACAUAAAAAUUAAGAUCAUAUGAUAUCAAAUAUAUAAAUCCUUCCAUAUUUAACGAUUGAUUAAAUACUUCGUUAAUUACCUUCUCAGAGUAGACGCAAUGUCUAUUGCAGACCCAGAAUCCACGCUCUUGUGGAAUGCCUUCUCAAGCUCCAUUGCCAGCUGGUAGCUAUCCUAUAAAAAAGAUUAAUUCAAGGUGUGUUUAGCAAUUUGUGUAAUUGGAUUAUGGUCGAAAGUCGAAAUGUAUGUACCUCAAUAGCCAUACAGCCCCCUUGACCCAAGUUGGGUUGCAUGGCAUGAACUGAAUCUCCAAGUAAAGUGACGCGACCUUUUCCCCAAGUGAAUACUGGUGGCUUGUCAUAUAUGUCACGACGAAGAACAGCUUCUUCUUUCGUGGCAUGUAUAAGGUCAAUCACGUUGUCGCACCAACCAUCGAAUAUAUCGAACAGUCUUUUUUUCAUGCCAUCAGCAACAUCAGAUCCGCCGGCCGGCUCCUUGUGAAACGCGUACCACUGCAUUCUUCCGGCACCCACGUCCGAAGAAACGAAGUACUGCUUGUGACCCAGAAAAACUCGAUACCCGACGGUUUCGAUGUCCGGCGGUACAAAAUCUGCAAUGCCGGUGUAGCAUGUGUAACCCGAGUACGAUGCUUCUGACGGACCGAGAAGCAGUUUGCGAACCUGUAGUCCAAAUUAAAGAGUGUUUGAUAAGUAAGUAGGUACAGUACAGGUUAGCUAAAAAGAAGAAGAAGAAUGGCGAGACAGAACCUUUGAACGGAUACCGUCGGCACCGAUGAGAAGAUCGCCUUCAUGCUGUUCUCCGUUUUCUAGUGUGACUGUAACUUUAUUUCCAUUGUCGACGAAAUCGACAACGUUGGAACCAUUUAGAAUGGCGUCGGCCCCAACUGCCUUGGCUAGAGUUUUUUGCAGAGUCAUCCGACUUAUCACUCUCGUUACUGGAAGUCCUCUUGACACCGCCGGAGUAAAGGUGUCGAAUUUGGUGUACCAAUUACCAGAUAUUCCAUCCACGAGACCAUUGAUCCUAUCACCUGUAAUGCAACCGGAAUUCAUAAUCUCAUCUGCAACAUCCAAAUCAAUAGCUUCCAACGCCGCCAGAGCGUUGCUCUGAAUCUGAAUUGGACCUCUGUAUUGCCCCUCCCCUCUGAUGGCACUGAGAUCUCUCUCGAACACCAAAACGUCGAACCCUUUUCUCUUAGCGGCAAGUGCGAAAACCAACCCACCGAUUCCGCCUCCGGCAACUAAGAUCUUUGGCUUCUUCGCAGCAAGAUUCGUUUCCGGCACACUGCCAGUGUCAGAGGCCCUCACUAUCUCCCAACAAGCUCGUCUCCUCCGUCGAAUCCUCGUGUGGUUGACCAAGCAAUUGGAAACUUGGGAUUCUUCACCGAAGUGUAUGGUUUGCGAAAUUGGAAAGUGGGUUUUAGAGAGCAACGUUGGGGAAGGCAGUAUUGCACUGUGUAGUUGUGUCAUAGCCAUAUCUAUGAAGCUAGCUAUAGAAGAAGAACCGGAGAAGAAAGCAAACAAGCAAGAAAUUAACCAAAUGAGCAACUCUGAACGCACAAUCGAUGCAGGUGGAUUGAAACCAAACUUAUAUUUACCGGAAAGAUUAAAUUAUACAAACAGAUCUAGCUAGGUAAAACAGUUGGUUUAGAUAUCGUUGUUUUCGGUAGACUGAAGAUCGAGUUGGUCGGUGAUAGAUAAGUGGAUGAAGUUGUCCGUGGUGGGGUUCCAAGGAUUCCCGACCAAUAAAAUGUAUACAUAUUGAUUGGCAGAUUUUCAUUUUUGAUAAUGCAGAGAUAUUUUACUGCCAUACGUUUUGAUUUUUGAGUGAGUGAUUCAGAAGAACCGAAUUCUGACGUAAAGUCAUGGUAUUAGUAUGAGCCGUGCGGCUAGGACUACGUGGCGUUCUGCUGGUGUUGGAAGUGAGAGGUUAUGUUUUUGGUAUUGUUUAUGCCACGUGGAGAUUUUAUAUAUUCUUGAAUAGAAUUCCAGAAUUUAAUUUGAGUGACUAAAUUUUAUGCCAAAAUUUAUUAUUAUUAGAUGAGAAUCGUUAGUAAGGGUGAAAACGGGUGAGUCGUCUUAGAGCCGUCUCGUUUCGCGUCUCGAUAACCGAGCUCGGGGCAUAUUUUAGAACUGGUCUCAGGACGAAACACGAAUGGUCGUCUCGAUUCAUAUAAUAUUAUUUGAAUUUUGAAUUUUUUACAUUUUAAAGUUUAAACAUGAGCUUUAAAGUUUAAACCUGUAUUUUAGAUUUAUUUUUGUUUUUAUUUUUAAAAAAUAAGGUAUAAAGUUUUAAACCUGUAUUUUUUUUUUAAUUUUAGGCUUAUUAUUUUAAUUAUUUGGUCACCCUUCUCACCCUUAAUCGUUAGCAACUUAAAAACAUUUAAUCAAAUAAUUAGGCUGUGUGAUAUAUGACUGUGAACUGUGAUACAAUGUUCUUAUUAGUUUUGUAAAUAACUACAUCUUAAUGAAAUAGAGUUAAUUAAUACACUAUAACCUAUCGACAUCUAACGCUCCGGCUAAAGUAAGGGCCUUAGGAGGAGUUCUUAAGCCCCCGAUUUUUUUAAUAUUAGCUCCAACGAGUUGCGAACGUCAAGAUCGGAGAUGAUAAAUGGAGGUCAAUUGACGGCAGUAAUAAAAGACAGAAUAUAAAUAAAAAAUAGUUACUUGGGGUUUACUUUAGCCCUAAGUUAUAUAUAGGAGGAAUUUUUGACGCGUCAUCGCCAAAAUACGUUAAGAAAUCCAGACCAUUCAUUUUAAAUUUUACGCUUAUUAAUUUUAAUUUUUGAACACUACCAUCUUAAACUACACGUGCGUAGAUCUCGAGAGAAAAUUAAAACUCUCUGCCACCACCAUUAUAACAUUGUUGUACAGAUUGUUUUUUUGUCUGAAUCGCACCAUCAAAUGUUAUUACUUUUUCAUAUCUUACUGUAAUUUAAUAAAUGUUUAUUUGAUAUGAUAUGUAAGGUGAUGUAUUUUUAAGAGAACGAGGGGAUGUUUGAAGACGGAAGGGACGCAAAGAUUGAGUGAUGUUCGAUAAACAGUUAUAAAUAUAGAAAAUUCACUGACAGUUAUAAAAAAAUCUUAGGAUUAUCAAUGGUGAUUAUAAGAUAUUGCAUACAUAGUCUGAAUUGCAUCAUUAAUGAAAAUAUAAAUAGCUAUUUUAAACUACUAUACUACAAAUACAUAUCUUGACCAUUUAAUACGAACCGUUUUUAUUAAAAUAAAAAAUUUAAACGAUCAGGAUAUAUAUAUAUGAAUGGCGUAUUCCAGAGCACUGAAUAACAACGUAUUUGAAGUGUGCCUUAUAUAUAUAUACAACCAAAUUCACCUGCGAACGUCCGCAGGUGAGGCUGGUUGCGGAUGGAUCAUUGGAUUCGUCGGAUUUCAAAUCCGACGAACGUGAAGCCUCACCUGGAACUGACACGGUUUCAUCAAAUAUAUCCAGUUCGGCGAGCCGAACGUCCCGAUUGGGUGAGGUGCGGUACCUCACCCUCACUCCGCCAGAGUCCAUGAACCUCCGCGGACUCCGAUGACCCAUCGCGGUUCGUUCGCAGUCAUCCGUCUUGGGGAUGAACCGCAUGGGAAAUGCACCAUAUAUAUACACUCCGGUUCACAGACGCCCGCCCGUCCCCUGCGACACCUCCAUCGACGAUCGCCGGAUGCGCAUCGGUCGAUGCUCAACUACGCAGUCUGUCGUUCUGUGGUCAAUUCAUUAAAACACACUAGUCCAACACAGAUCCCAUUGCAUAGUACUACCUAUUCAGUAGCGGUAUGGUCUUUAUCGUACCUUCGCUAAUCAGUGGGCAGGCGGGGGUCAUGUCGGACACCCAAUAUCAGUUCGGAGACGUCGACGUUCCCAUCACGCGGAUGUCUUGUCGGACACCCCAUAGCCCUUCGCCGAACAUCGUUGUUCCCACCACGACCUUCUGUUCCCUCUGCGAACGGGUGUCCGAUAUACUCGAGUAUUCUUCCACAUUUCCCAAAAUUCGAAAUGCGCAAACCAUACUGAAUGUGACUGCCGGCUACUCCGACACCAGCAACGACUGGGGACUAUUGCAAGACCUCUGAUCGACAUCGGCUCCCCAUCCGCCUAUUUAAACAGGGGUGUUACGGAGUUAGAACCAUCUCCUCCACUGUGAUAGCGUUUUUCAAGAAUCUUUCCCCUCGACGACAAGGAAAGGUAUUUUUCUAGUUCACUCAGAGGUUCAUUCCUUGGGUGUUAGUGUUUAAUUUCUUAGGAAAAUUUUGACAUGCUUUCAUAGAUUUUAUUUGCCUAGAGAAUUUUUCGUUUUCUUUCAUCAUAGACAUUAUACUCCUUCUGAUUUGCACGAGUUUUCGGACCAAAUCCGAUAUUCUUAUUCUACUUCAUCAUCUUCUUCAUCAUAGUCAUGAAGGUUCUUAUUCUUCUUUAUCUUUUUAUUCGAUGGAAUCCUUCUACAAAUAUUUUGGGUGCUUCAACCUGAUCCUCCCUCGAUUUUUACUACUUCAAAUCUAGUUUUCAAAAAUUUAGAAUUCAAAUAAUGCAAUGAUAGAUUGCAAUGACUUAUAUUUAAGUUUCAGUUAGUUUAUAGUUAGGCAAUGAGUUCUAAGAAGAGAAAUGCUCCGGAGAACAACCACGUUAGGAGGAGAAGGGGUAACCUCCACGAGGUCAUUGUUAUCAGCAAUGAUGAACCAGAGAAUGGGUCUGUUGCAGAUUCACCGGAGCCCAAGCUUAUCACUCCAGGACGUCGGAUAACCAGAUCGACGUCAUCGCCCUCACGGACCUCUGGAAUGCACGGGUACUGGCCAUUCAGGAAGAGGAAGUCAGUGAUGAUGCAAGGACAGUCAUCACGUGCGAACGAACCGGUUAUGAGGUCAGAGGUCUUUAGCCAUUGCCCACCGAUGUUCGUCAACGUACCAUUACCUACAUCCACCCCCUCCUGCGUUUCAAGAACCCGUGUAACUCUUCCAAUAUCGACUAAAGAACCCGUACAGGAAAUCUACUUUACCUGAACCGAAUCAAUGCGCUUAGUGUCUACAAGGAAUACCAGAGGGACAUCCGAACUACAUGCCUUUGAUGACACCUUUACCCGUAGAUAUCUCGUCAGAUGACGACUACGAGGAAGCUUUGGAGUCUUACAAGACAAUUGGUAACACUGAUCCACAACAGUGGAAGGAUUGGUGGUUCCAGUCUUUCAAUACUCCUUCCCACUGAAUAUGAUGACUGACUAAGGGUCCGAAAUCAAAUAGAGUACUGUUAGGACAUAAUAUUUUCUAUUGCCCAAGUUAAUCAAAUGUACUCUGCGAAUGAAAUUGCUUUACUCGGCAUUAAGAUAUUCAGAUGAUGAUCUUCAAUUAGAAUGUAACCUUGAUAAAUAUGCCUUUUAACUUCAUGUACUCAUCAGAAAUUAAACAAGGACAUCAAGCUAUUAGCUAGCUCUAUAAACUAUGAAAUUUCCUAAAUUUAUACUAACUAACAAGUAAAUAUCUCGAAGUUUAAAUGAAUAACCCUAACUCCAAACUACAUGUUUUCAACAUGACUAUGUAAUUUCAGAGAGUUACCCUGAAGUUUCUAACCCUGGAAAUUCUAACAAAAUUUAUUUAGCACCAUCUCAAAGAAUACCGCUGAAAUCUUGAAAUACACCUGCAACAACUACCUAAAUGGAUAGCACUCUCAAACAGAGGUUCGAUGAGGCAUUGCUCCAACCUUUUGCUCAAUUUUCCAUGAAAGCAUUUAUUUCUUUUUGAGAUUGCUUCAACCCAAUUCGUGUCUUUCGAAGCAUCAUUGAAACAGUUAGAUUCUUCAUGUGUCGUUAUUUGUUUUAGAAAAUAUUUAAGUUGUUUACUUGUCCUAUGAUAAGAUACAUGAUUGUUCAUGGAAUGUCUUGGUUCAUAGGAAAUUGUUUUGGUUCUGAUAAUUUCUUGCCAUACAGACUUUUUUAUUGAUUAGUUUGAUUUGGGGAGGCUUUUUUUAUUUCUUGUUGUAAACCCCUUGUCCAUAGUUCCUGAUUUACAAUGUUCUCGAGCUUGUUUUUGUAUUUUCCUUUUAGUUCGGCAAAUGUUAACGAAUUUCGGUGUAAAUUUUGUUCAGAGCCUUUUGCUUCUGAAAUUUCAAUGUCGCAUUGCGGUCUUCAGUAGGAAUUCAGAACACCUGUUUUUUCAGACUCGAAAGUUUUUCCUUUUGAGUUUUCUUUUUGAUUUUUCGUAUGUAAUGCUCCAAUUUAUUAUCCAGAGCAUCUGCCUCUAAAUUUUAUGGCAAAAAUUGUUCUGAGUAAAUUCAUGCUUAUUUUCAUGAAUUCAUUAGAUUGCUCAUUUUGCUUAUUUUCUAAUGAAACAUCAUGGAGUUUGUUUUAUUUUGAGCUAUUUUUUGAAUUUUGAGUCUAGAUUUACUCAUUCUUCUUUCGAUCAAGGAAUUUUAGAUCUUGAAAUUUCUAUUCCUAACUCGAUGGAUGAUCUGAUUGCAAACACCGGAAGUAACAAUGCAAAAUCGCAAGCGGCGUGCAGAGCUAAAGGAGUUGGUGUUUCUGGCCAUUUUGAACUUAGGAGUUGUACCAUACCAUGCAUCCACAACCCCGGGAGUUGUACCAUUCACACAUUCCCUCUGAAUCUCUCCCUCAUAUCUUCUUUAAAACGAUCCCAGGUGGUUAAGAGGUUGUUGCGCCGGAGUCCUCUGAUCCACGACAAGGCUGCGCGCGUCAUAUGAAACCAUGCAAUCUGGAUGCGUGAAUCAUCGAAGAUGCCAUGGAAUAUAAAAUAUUCUCCGGCUUGAUAAAUCCAGCCCUCCGGAUCCACCCCCGUGAAUUUUGGUAGGUCCAGUUUGAUUGCCCGUGUUGCUCUACUUGCUGCGUUUGGAUCGGCUUGGUUUCGAUAUCCUCCCAAAUUAAAGUAGCUUGUAUGUCCCUGACCAUACCAGCAAUUUCCGCAACCUGCCCGGCUAAGUUCGCUAUUGAUGCGUCCUGUCGUCGUGUAACUUCUGUGAAUUUAGACGUUUAGUCUGUUAAUACAAUUCCGAUUUCUUGCCAGAUUUCGUCGAACCCAUUGCUCGUUUCAUCUGCUUCUGCCAUGUUUACAAUUCUGUAAUCGAUAUAAAGAAAAAAAAAUAAAUUACUAGUACGAUGUGCUUUCCUUUAGCGGAUUUAGUUAAGGCCUGGAACAAGCCUUGGCGUGUGAAAGUUUAUAGUCGUUUUCCGACUGUGGUAAUCUGCUCUUUGGAGAAGCCGACUGUCUAAUUCAUUGAAAGCACCAAUGUAACGUUUUGCCAACGUUGAAGGAGUAGGAUGGAAAAGAAAUCUCCCGUGGGAGCCGCCGAGCCGGUGGUUGGAAAAAGACUCUCCCGAGCCUGUGGAAACGAGAAACAGAAUUGGGUUCCAAAAUAUUCGAUGAUGGUUAACGACGAUCCUCUAUAUUAUUUAAAUGGUUGUUUAUCCAAUAAUAUCUUGCCAUGUGGCUCAUCCAAUUGUUAUUGCCUAAUAACUUUAAUUAGGUAAAACUCAUAAUCAUAAUCCGGGUUGCGCGUGCUUUGCCUGACUCGGCUGGGUUAGGUACGAGCUUCCUCGCCGUCCGCGUUCUGGUCUCCCCUGUCUUCGCUGAUGGGUUCAAAGCUAAUUCCCAAUUCUUCCGGGAGCUUCGUACCACUUGAUCCAUGUCUAACUCAACUGUAACCGAUGGUGUUCAUGGUCUGGAAUGUAAGGUUACUAAAUCACGGAAGAUGCUUUUGUACGUCCUUUUAUCAAUUCCCAAAGCAAUCUUGAAAGAGCAGCAUGAGGAAAAUAUUACUGUUUCUUUAUUUUCAAUGUUUUCAUGGAGAUCUCCAUCAGCGGAACAUUGUUCAGCUCAGUCCAGCCAGCGUAAUUCAGACAAUAUUUUAGCAAUGCUCGAUCACCGGCUACUUGUCUGGGAAUGCAUCCUUCUUCCUUACCUUCUUAGCACUUAAAUCAGGAGUUCUUCCACUGCUGAUGUAUGUAUGUAUAUUUGUGUUAUUAGAAUGAAAGAUAAAUGUUAAUUAGAAUUUUUUACCAGUCUCACAGUUUGGUCUAGUAGAUGAAAAGAAAGAAGCAACUAUAUAUUCUUCCCUUGAGCACAAAGAAAGACAUAAUCGAUUCACCAACUACAUAUAUACAAUGGGCAAAUCUUUGAACUCAGCUUUAAUCUGAUCAGACAUCUCUGCAUCUACAAGCCAUCGGAAUAUAUAUACAUCAGAGUAUCGAUCGAUCAGUCGUAGUGUCUAUGUGGAUCGAUCGGACCAAAAUGACAGAGAAAAUAUUCAUCCUCCACGGCCUACUCCUGAUCCAGUACGUUUAUCAGGCUUCUGCUAUCUCGGAACAGUCGGUAAAGGCGGAAGCAGCAGUGCCGAUCCUAACAUUAUCGCCGCCGGAAGGUAACACGACGUUCUUAGACGGUACAACCUGGUGCGUGGCUCUCCCAGAUGUAGAAGAAACGGCUCUUCAACGUGCUUUGGAUUGGGCAUGUGGGCCGGGUUCUGUGGACUGUGGUUAUAUCGAACGUGGCAGAGAAUGCUACGAACCCAACACGCUCCUGUCCCAUGCGUCCUUCGCGUUCAAUAGCUACUACCAGCAGAAUGGUAACAACGACAUUGCAUGUAAUUUUGGAGGCGUCGCUUAUGUCACCACGCAUAAUCCAAGUACGUACGUAGAAUCGUUGAGAAUUGAUCGAGAUACUACAUUAUUUACGAACCUAUUUGUUCAUCAUUCUUCUUCGUUUUCAAUUCCUUGUGUCAAUUUGCUUACAGGUCAUGGAAUUUGUCGAUUUUUGGUAUCAUCGGAGUAAGUGGUCGAUAAAAUCUUUUAAAUUAGGUUCGAUUUUGUGUUUUCAUAUCGGGUUAAUUUAGAUUGGCUUCUUCCGACAGUAUGGUUUCGGCUUCUCAACGGCUCGGCCUUGUUUUCUCUUUGUGGUGGGGUCUAGUUUGGAUCAUGUUGCUGCUCUACUUCUGAUUUCGUACGUGUUAUUAUUAGUACGUGGAUCAUGUUGCUGCUCUACAACUAUGUAAUAACUAAUAAGUGAACUUUUUUUGAGAUCAUAUUGCUGAACCUAGACCGAUUGAAGAGUAUACAUAACAAAAGAAAAAAAAACAAAUAAGGCCCAAAGUCCAAUCCAUAAAAUGGCCCGUUGAAAUGAAAACCCUAAUCCUCAAACUCUCUCUAUAUAUCUUUCUUUCCUUUAAUUUCGACAGAAGCCGAAGUUCCUUUUCUCGCCGUUUUCUUUGUUUCUUCAAGUAGCCUUCUAUUAUCGGUGCGAUCACAAGUUUUUUUAAUUAUGUUCUUCUUUUUCUUUGAAAUCGGUGCGAUCGGGGAUGAAUGUUUAAUAUUUGCUGAAUUUCGAUGAUUAUUUGUUAAAUUUAAUCACCAUCUUUCGACUGAGAUCCCAUCCGAUUCGUUUUUUUACUAUAAUGCUCUGUCUUUUUAUUUUUCGUGAUCGAUUUUUAUUAUUAUAAUGCCAUCGGUAUCUGAUGCUUCGACUAUUCAAUGUUUGGGUGUCUCGUUAACGUGGCAGAAAUUGAAGGAACAGGCCUUUGCGACACUGUUUGCUUUCUUAAAUCAUAAGCUCUCAGUUACUUUUUUCCUGUGCAUAUUUGUUUUUUUUACAAUUUUUUUUGAAUCCUUUCUUUAUCUUGCUAUAUCGUAUAGCUUUCGUGUUUUUUUAAUAUGUAAUUGUUAUUUUUUUAGUAUAAGAAAUUUAUUAUUUGGUUUUUGGAUCAAAUCAUUCAGACGAGCUAAUUAUAAUGAUUUUUUUAUUUCUGAAUGAAAAUAAUGAAUUUUAAUUUAUAAAUUUCUGUUAAUAAAAAUAGAAUUAAUUAUAUUUGUUUGUUAUUGUUUGUUUGUAGAUUAUGUUGGAUGUAGAAUUAUAUUAUUUUAAUAAUUUGUUUUAUGGAAUUGAGGUAUAUAUUUUUUCUGUCACUUAUUAUGUUUUUGAUUGGAGUGAUUUUGUAUUUAGUAAUAUCUAUCAAAUCAAAAAGCUAUUGUUAGUUUUAGUUAAGGGUUAGGGUUAGUUGUUGCAGGAUGUUUUGUUUCUAACCAAGUGAUUGAUAGAUUAUUUUGCCGAAUGUUAUCACUUUAGGAGAUGAUUUUAAAUAUGAUCAUUUUUUAUUCGGGUGAAAUUGACAAUUAAUGUCGAUAUCAUUGACAAUUAAUACGUAUCUUAUAAGGUCGAUGGAUAUUACAAAAUUACAUAAUUUCAAUUACCUACGUAUUACGAUUACUAAUGGAAAUUUUUUGUUUUGAUAAUAUGUUUUUCAAUUUUUUUUGUUUUGAAUUUUGAAAUCGACGAAUUCGAUUCUCCAAAAGUUAUCGAGGUUAAUCAGAUAAGUCCAGGUGAUAAAGUUACAACGAGAAGGUGGUAUUUGCGUUUCGAUGAUCUGCCUGUACAGGCGUUUUGACGAGAUGGCUAUAUAUGUUAUGGACAGAUUAAUUUUACAGAAAGGAAAUAUCAGAAAAUCAUGUGAUGUGAUGUAUUUUUGAUAACCAAAGAUCGUUUAAAUUUAACAUAUAUAAGGUAUAUAAUAUAUUUAAAUUUACUAGAUUUAAUUAUCAUUGUAUAUGUCUGUUGUUGACUGAUGAUUUACAACUGGAUUUAUUCUAAUUUUAUUGGAAACUCUUUUUAUUCGGUAAUUUUUUUACCGUCGUUAAAAAAUCUUAUCAGAGAUUAGAUAUGAUUUACGAGAUGUAAUUUUUUUUUCAUAAAGAAUGUACCUCAUAAGUACCUUCAACCAGAUCAGUUUUUUUUAAAGGAAAAAAAAAACAUUCAUCACUCAUCACACAAGUUUGAUAUCUCAGUGUACGAACCAAGAUGAGUGAUGUGCUGUGCUGCCUUCCAUUCCAUCAAUGGACGCACACUGCAACCAAGCAAGUUGCAACGACCCAAGAUCGAUCUCUCAUUUACUUGUUGUUUGUUGAGUCGUGAGUUGUUUUUGGUCCUGACGAAGACUGAGUGAGGUUUUUAUGAUUAAUUAACACAAGCAAAAAAAGAAAAACAUGCAGAGACAAGUUGUAUUUAUUCUAAUGUCAAAGAUAAUGACAUGGUAUGAUCUUUUGGUAACACAAAAUUGGUCCCAAACAUCACUUGCCUUUGAUGAUAUUAUUAAUAUAGAUAUGUCUUAGUAUGCAUGCCUGAAUGGUUUUAUUCUGUCCGUUGUUUUAGCUACAUAUUAUUCUCUCAUUCUCACAUACAAGCUCGAUUGGGUUUUAUUUUAUCAUUAAUCCCUCACCCAAUGUUCGAUCACACUUGUUAUGGUUUUCCAAUUCAUCAACAUAUAUUGAUUGGAAACACACAACAAUUAUUCAACAAUUCGCAUGUGCAUUAAUUAAUAUCCUCUUUGAUCGACUGUAGUAGAUCGAUUUACAGCAGUAACUAGCGGUAUCGUCGUCGAUCGAGUUCUACAAAUUAAGGUUGGUUUCAACUUUGAAGUCAAGGGUUCAGAUUGAUGAUCAGGUCAAUGAGAAUUCAGAAUUCAGAACUAUUAUUGAAUCGAUUCGACGAUUCUCCUCUCCAUGACUCUCCUCCAUUGGUGGUAGAAUAUAAAAAACAGUGUUUGUGCAGGAAUUGUUUCCAGUCAAAUGUGUGUGUAAAUAAUUUUGCGCAAACACCCCUGUAGUUUUCUUCCUUUUUAUGAAGUAAAGAGCUAGAUGCAAUUUAAAUCUGACAAAGUUGGUCGAUCGACUCUCCACCGUUGGAUGUGAAACCAAAACAGUGGGUAACCGAUAGUGCUACACGUGACAUCACGUGGGAAUUUAGUUUUGUUUAGUUGAGGACUUGAUAGUUGAGACUUGGCCUAGUUUGGUUUGGUGGGAAUGUGGGACCCAAACCAUUCCUCGAACGCUACAACUACUUGGUUCGUUUACAAAUAUCUAUUCUACAACUACAAGUAGUAGCAGUAGUAGUAAGUCGGACGACAUAAACCAAAACUCAAACUAUAUUAUUAUAACCACAAUGGUAGACGUCGACCGGCGUAUGGCAGGUUUAAACCAAGCACACACAGCCGCUCUCCGGCGAUUGUCUAAUCGCGCUUCUUCAUCUUCAUUUUCUUCUUCUUCCGUCGUCAACGCAACUGCCAACACUUCUUCCCCAGCUAUUCUUCGUAAUAGCGUUGUGAAAUCCUUCCUGCCUUUAGCGGAAACGAUCCUCACUCACUUCCGUUCCUCGGGAGUCACUGUUCACCCGGGUCUCUCUGCGUCCGACUUUGAUGUUCUUGAGGCUGACUUCUCCUUCCAGUUUCCUCCCGAUCUUCGCGCUGUACUCUCCCUUGGUCUGCCUUCGGGGCCUGGUUUCCCGGACUGGAACAUCAGUUCCUCCAACGCUACCCGACGAAGACUGAAGUCAUCUUUGGAUCUUCCGAACGCCGCUGUUUCGCUACAGAUUACACGCAACGGAUUCUGGAGUAAGAGUUGGGGUGUUCGUCCGUCCGAUUCUGAUCGCGCGGUUCAGAUUGCGAGGACAGCGCUGACGAGAUGUCCUGUUCUUAUACCGUUGUUCGAUCGGUGUUAUCUACCCGCCUUCCCUUGUCUUGCUGGGAAUCCGGUGUUUAUGAUCGGUGACUCCAAGAUCUCCAUUGCCGGAACAGAUCUCAUGAAUUUCUUCCAACGUCGGUCGACUCUCUUCUCCACGCCUUUAUCGCCUCCUCCCAAUGCAUCUCUUCGUAUUCCGCCCAGGAAAUCGACCUCCAAGACGCCGAGAUGGAUCGACUUCUGGAGCGGAGCUGCGUCAUUUUCACGUCGGAAGAGAAAAUCGUCAUCGUGGUCGUCUUCGUCGUCUUCUUCGUCGUCUUCAUUGUCAGAUCUUUCAUUAUCCCCUUCACCUGAGGCGUACGUGGAGAUACGCUCGUCGAGAGUUCCAGAGUGGGUGGGGAACUAUCUAGGUGUUAUAAGCUCAGCUCUGAAAGACGGCGGUUGGGAGUCGUCGGAGGUAGACGAAAUGGUGCAUCUAUCAACGGCAUGCGAUGGGGGGGAAUCUUCGUCGGAGGUUAUAGACACUCAAGCAGCAUUCGAUUCUCUAUUACUGAAUACAGAUAAAUUCUCUGGAGAGUUACGUAGAGCAGGGUGGAGCUCCGAUGAUGUCUCUGAUGCACUUUGCUUUGAUUUCGGGAAAGUAAAGGAGAAGAAGAGAGUAACGUUACCGCCCGAUAUCGUUCAAAAGAUCAACGAACUCGCAGCGGCUGUUUGCUAAAAUGUCAACACUAAAACUCAGAGCGGUAACCUUAUCCACAAGCCACAGCACGGCUGCACGGGAAACAAAAUCCGGCAUGUUCGAUCGAACUUGCUUGCUUCUAAGUUCUAUCUCCCUCUCAACCUCUCUCCUCCAUUUCCUGGAACUCGAACUUUCUAUAUUUUUUUUUAUUUUUCCCUAAAUCAUGGGGUGUAAAAAUCGGAUUUUUUUUAAAAAAAAUGAAAAAUACACAGUUUAUAAUAAACCCUAAUUGAGUAAUUAAUCAUAUGUAAAUAUGUAAUCAAGUGAUUUCCUUUUUCUUCCUCUUCCGGAUGUUAAAACAUAAAACAAGUACAAGUUCCAACUUGCAACCACACGCGCGGGUGGCCUGAUUUCGAAAAAAGCGUGGCGAUGGAUUUCAUUACUAUCGAUGUUUUUCAUUUUUUUUUCUUUAUCUGGGCAAUCUGCAGCUUUACUUUUGGUUGGAGUUUGAUCGACCUGCGGUAGGUUCCAUCGGUUCUUACUGCGGUUUAAACUGAUUUCUAGAUUAAUUUAUUGACGCAAUCAGACAAUUAGUGAUCGAUCUGAGUUUUUUGUUUUUAAUAAUGCAGAAGACAUUAAUAAAAAAGUGUAUCACAAUGUGAAAACCUGCCGUCGGUGAAGACUGAAGAGUGAAGACCUCCCUCUCUCCGGCAAGUCAAAUUGUGAAAUUGUCAAAUCUAAUUUCCUCCGUAUGCAAGAUUGCUUCUUAACCUUGAUUAAUUGGUUCCCACAGACCGACAUAAUGAUCAGUUGAUCACGUGGGUUGGGGGACCGAUAAUGCGACAUUUCUGCAGUGAUUUUCCGACGACGCAACAGGAUUACUAAACCUGUUUGAGAAGUCAUGGCUCGUGCGAUGGUAAUAUAUUGUACGUCAAUCCACAUGCAUGCGUGAAAAUUGAAACCCAUAAUUUCAUAAAUAUAUACGAACACAACACAUCGAUCUAUCUCUAUUUCUCUAACUAUAUAUUGACGAUCGAUCUGUCUAUCUGAUCUUCCCAGCUAUAUAUUUCAAUAUUUUUAUGUGUUUUUACAUGUUAGAUAUUGUUAGAUCGGGAUUGAUUCAUGUUUGAGGUUGGCUAUGACAUUACUUGAAUAGAUCUAUGAGAAUACAAAUGAUACAUCGAUACCGUACAAACUUAACAGACUGUGUGCCGCAUAUAAGCCAUAGCAAUAGACAGAUUGGUCUGUAAGCUUAGCUGUUAUUUUCUAUUGAUUUCAGGAACAUUUAUCUGACCGGUGUCAAAUCAAAACUCAUCGUUCCGGCCAUCUUCCUAUUUAUCACCAACUCAAUAAGGAAAUUUAAUAUAUAUAAAAAAGGACAUUCCGAUCAGACUAUUAGUGGCCCAAUUGGACUCGUAUUCAGGCCCAAGUACCCAGGACACAAAUAAUGAAGCAAAGGGAAGUUCGACAUCAUCUCGUUCCCGGCCCAAAUCCAUGGAGGAGUAAGUCAAUUAGAUUUUAUACAAUUAACAAGCCAAAACCAGGCCCACAAAACACACACAACCAUUGUAAAUUUAAACUCCAAAAAGUUAUUAGACUGAUUAAGUGCGUAUUUCAAUUUAGCAUUUAUGAUGAUCGUACCGUGUACUCGACACUGACUCCAUAAUCCUUAAGGCGAUGGGUGUGUCAAUGUCAUGUAUGUGUGGGCUCGCUCUUAAUGUUCUGGGUAUUUAAUUUAAAUGGAAUUUGUCGGGUGAUGGUAAGACCAUGAGCACGAUGAGCGCAUGCCAAGAAUGGACCCAACCCAUUCGUGUCCGAUCGAUUUUCUGGUUUCUUUAUUGCUAUACAUAUAUUUACUACAUUAUUAAAUAAUUAGAUUGCGAUUUAUGAAUCUCUCUCUCCAUGCACAGAUUCGUGUCUUGUGGGCACUGACCAUGUAAAUAUAUACAUAUUUUGCAAAUAUUAAAAAAGUUAAUUUUCUGAAAUAGACAUCAAGAGGUUUGGUCUGGUUGAAAAAUAAAAUGUGGUCUAGUUGAAAUUAUGGUUUUUACAAUAUCGACUUUCUUUUUAUUUAGCUAUCAUUUUUAAUGUUUUAGCUAAGAAUUAGACAUCAAGAGGUUUCUCUUCAAAAAUUGCAUAGUAAUAAUUUUCAAUUACAAGCCAUAUUCUUUUUAAAAGAUAUCAACUCUGAAAAAAAUAUAUUCUCUAGUCUUUUAAUAUAUACAGGUACAACUACAUUUUCUAUUCAUUACUGAUUUACUAUUUUUGCUAAUUAUUAACUUACAAUUUACAUGCAUGAGUCUGAUCUGGCUGUCUGUGUCUGUAAACGUGGCAAAUCUGGGUACAAGAGACCAUGUGUCAUGCUGUGGACUUUUGAAAUUAAAAGAGAAUUCUAUAAAGAUUAAGAGAUAAUAUUUCGACUACGGUUUGAAACCUUCUUGGGCCUGCUACACCUACAGUUAUAUAUCUUAUCGGGCUCCUAGCUAGAAAUAGGGGGGAAUGUUAAACAUAGAUAUGGACAUGUUAGAUCAAAUAUUUCCUAGCUAAUAUAUAUAUAAUAAUCAAUUUCCUUCCAAAUUGACUGUUCUUUGCAAUUUCAUUUUUUACCAGAUGGAUUAGUGAAAGAUUAAUUACUAGAAAAUCAGAAAACAAUUUUUUACCGACCAUUCAAUUAUUUAUAAAAGAGUGUUCAUUUUACUCUGACGAUUCUUUAAGUUCUGGGUCGGACUGAUGAAAACUCAAGCUUAUUUGACAUUAUGGAAGUGGGUGUAGCCUAUAGCACAAGCAAGGGUCUCAGACCCAAAUCCGAUAAUUGGGUUAUCAAAUCCAAGGCCCAAACUUGUAUAUAUAUAUAUAGGAUCCGCUUCCGGUACGGUUGGGUGUUCUGGCGAGAACACUACCGGAACAGACUGUCAGACCUCAAGCAGAGGUCGCGGGUGUUCCGGUGAAGUUCGGUGUACGGAGGACGUGCGGUUCGUCCCCCGUGCCGUCGGAUGACGAUUCUGUGUCAUUUGACGAUUCAGCUGCACUGGGUGUAGGUGCGGUCUGCCGCACCUGAAACCCAGUAUAUAUAUAUAACACUGAUUUUCUAUACAUAUAGUCUAUAGCAUCUUUUGUAAUAUAUUAUUUUAGGUCGUUAGUAUUUUGUACAAUUGUAUUCCUUGUAUAAUAUGUAAUAUUCCUUCAAUAUAUUUAUAAAUUUACUCUUCUCCUCGUGUUCUG